RNAcentral lists this ribosomal RNA (468 nucleotides) under uncultured bacterium. Its description in RNAcentral is "partial 16S ribosomal RNA". It matches the Rfam family "Bacterial small subunit ribosomal RNA", at positions 28 to 507 of the family's 1533-position model. The record is from RNAcentral.
GACGAACGCUGGCGGCGUGCUUAACACAUGCAAGUCGAACGGAAAGGCCCUGCUUUUGUGGGGUGCUCGAGUGGCGAACGGGUGAGUAACACGUGAGUAACCUGCCCUUGACUUUGGGAUAACUUCAGGAAACUGGGGCUGAUACCGGAUAGGAGCUCCUGCUGCAUGGUGGGGGUUGGAAAGUUUCGGCGGUUGGGGAUGGACUCGCGGCCUAUCAGCUUGUUGGUGGGGUAGUGGCUUACCAAGGCUUUGACGGGUAGCCGGCCUGAGAGGGUGACCGGCCACAUUGGGACUGAGGUACGGCCCAGACUCCUACGGGAGGCAGCAGUGGGGAAUAUUGCACAAUGGGCGGAAGCCUGAUGCAGCAACGCCGCGUGCGGGAUGACGGCCUUCGGGUUGUAAACCGCUUUCGCCUGUGACGAAGCGUGAGUGACGGUAAUGGGUAAAGAAGCACCGGCUAACUACGUG